Molecule: ribosomal RNA, 264 nt
Filed under: uncultured archaeon
Lineage: Archaea
Description: partial 16S ribosomal RNA
Rfam family: Archaeal small subunit ribosomal RNA
Source: RNAcentral
AGACGUCUACAUUAGAUACCCGCGUAGUCCCAGCCGUAAACUAUGCGCGUUAGGUGUAUCGGUGACCACGAGUCACCGAGGUGCCGAAGGGAAACCGUGAAACGUGCCGCCUGGGAAGUACGGUCGCAAGGCUGAAACUUAAAGGAAUUGGCGGGGAGCACCACAACGGGUGGAGCCUGCGGUUUAAUUGGACUCAACGCUGGGAAGCUCACCGGAUAAGACAGCGGAAUGAUUGCCGGGCUGAAGACUCUGCAUGACUAGCUG